RNAcentral lists this transfer RNA (67 nucleotides) under Nycteribia allotopa. RNAcentral's name for it is "tRNA-Leu". Lineage: Eukaryota; Metazoa; Arthropoda; Insecta; Diptera; Nycteribiidae. The record is from RNAcentral.
UUUUGGCAGAUUAGUGUAAUAAAUUUAGAAUUUAUGAAUAUAUAAAUAUUUAUAUAAAUAGUACUUG